Long non-coding RNA from Sphaeramia orbicularis (orbiculate cardinalfish), 146 nucleotides. RefSeq lists it as uncharacterized. NCBI's taxonomy places the organism in Eukaryota, Metazoa, Chordata, Actinopteri, Kurtiformes, Apogonidae. The record is from RefSeq and is a predicted model, not a curated record. The transcript has 3 exons.
UACAGUCCUGGAAGGAAAAUUUUACACAAUGUCAAAUACUAUCAUGAAAUAUUUGUGGAAAAAUCUUUUUGUGUUUCAGAAGGUGUGGCUACAUCAGACAGACACAAACAAAUGUAUUUUUUUGUUCACUGCUAAAAAAAAAAAAA